This is a long non-coding RNA of Biomphalaria glabrata, 354 nucleotides long. RefSeq lists it as uncharacterized. The record is from RefSeq and is a predicted model, not a curated record. The transcript has 3 exons. Lineage: Eukaryota; Metazoa; Mollusca; Gastropoda; Planorbidae.
GAUGCAUUCUAUUGCUCUAGAAAUAGAACAUCCUACAGAUGAAUGAAACCAGUACCUUUGGGCUGGGCUUGAAAAAAAGUGCAGCAAGUGUAUCUCUAAAAGUAUUUGUUUGAGGUCAAGUUGUGGAGUACAUCCUAGCACUCUUGGACUAAAAGAGCAUUCAGAUUAAUGGGAAAAUCUCCUUUUUGAGUAACAGGCAAGACUUGGGAGCUAGUUAUCAAGAACUGUGCAAUAAAGUUACAGAUCACAUCAGAUUGCUAUUCCAUACAACGUACAGAUGAAUGGACCCAUUAUCUACUUGGAACAGUCAAAUUAUAGAAGCUUCUUGUCCACAAGUUGUUUUUUGUCUUAAAG